CCGGGAAUAUUGCGCAAUGGACGAAAGUCUGACGCAGCGACGCCGCGUGUAGGAAGAAGGCCUUCGGGUUGUAAACUACUGUGGAGGGGGAAUAAUCAUUGAAGGUACCCCUCUAGAAAGCACCUGCUAACUACGUGCCAGAAGCCUCGGUAAUACGUAGGGUGCAAGCGUUAUCCGGAUUUAUUGGGCGUAAAGAGUCUCGUAGGCGGUUCGUUAAGUACAUGGUUAAAGGCUCCGGCUUAACCGGAGAGAUGCUGUGUAUACUGGCGAACUAGAGGGUUGUCGGGAGUGCUGGAAUUCUCGGUGGAGGGGUGAAAUCCGUUGAUAUCGAGAGGAACACCAAAGGCGAAGGCAGGCACUUAGGCAACAUCUGACGCUGAUGAACGAAAGCUAGGGGAGCGAACAGGAUUAGAUACCCUGGUAGUCCACGCCGUAAACGAUGGGUGCUAGGUGUGGGCGGUGUCGACUCCGUCCGUGCCGAAGCUAACGCAUUAAGCACCCCGCCUGGGGAGUACGGCC
RNAcentral lists this ribosomal RNA (519 nucleotides) under uncultured bacterium. RNAcentral's name for it is "bacterial SSU rRNA". It matches the Rfam family "Bacterial small subunit ribosomal RNA", at positions 355 to 887 of the family's 1533-position model. The record is from RNAcentral.